GUCCGUGAACUGAGGGGAAAUGUCUCCCCCUUCAGAUCCGGCAGCGGGUAAUCCCGCUUAUUAUCGCAAGAAGGAG
This 76-nucleotide non-coding RNA is filed under the name unclassified sequences. RNAcentral describes it as "L20-Deltaproteobacteria ribosomal protein leader". It matches the Rfam family "L20-Deltaproteobacteria ribosomal protein leader". The record is from RNAcentral.